ACAGAAUAGGACACAGGUGAUAACCGGCCAGAUAAAUGUGGCUAUUGAAAUUAAUUUCAAAUUCAAACAACACAACACUAGCCACAACUGAAAAUGGUGAAACAUAUGAGUUUCAAUGAGGCAAUAGAUAGAAAUUAGAAAAUUUGCAUGGGAUAAGAAAAUAAACUGAAAUAUAUUUUUUAUGAAUAGAAUUAGAUUGAAUAUUCAAGAGAUUGCACAGUAUAGUUUAAAUCUAACCAUUGACACAUAAAAUUCUUUUGAAGUUUUAGUUUUCUUUCUUUUUUUCUGUCAAACUACUUUCUACCUUUUGCAGUUGCAUCAUCAAGCUGAAAAUAAUGCAGAAAGUUGCAAUUAGGGAAUAGGCACAUUAUAAAUUGCGAUUAUGGAAUCAUAAAAUGCUUGCAAGAAAAAAACCACCACAUGCACUGAUUUCCUGUAUAGAAGAAGGGUGAGAAAUCUGCAAAUGCACAAAGAAUUAAGCAAAGAACAACUUGCUUGGGAUUCCAAAUAUAAUUAUAUUUUAGGAUUUAUCUAGUGAGUGUGCCAGUAUUUUGCUUUUAGGAAUAUAACAAAAAUUAGAAAAUCAUAGUGGGUUGAUAAAUGAAUUGCCAACAUUGACACUAUUUACAAAAUACACUGAUAAGGAAAGUGCCAUAUAAUAUAAUACGAAGCAGGUUCUCGCAAGGGAAAGGAAAAGGUAUCUGCAUAGGCACAAUAACAAAUCUUAACUCAUUCCCAUGACUAACCAAUAGUUCUUCAGUCCUUUUUCUUAUGCCAACUAUGGCCGUCCCUAUGAAAGAACAGAAGGAUCCUUUAGGUGACUUUAGAGGUGGUUCCUCUGAUAACUGUUGCCAUCUUUAUGAAAGAAAACAAGGAUCCUUCUGUUAAAAAGAAACAGAGAACACCCAUUGAAGAACUCAAUGUUUGUGAACUGCAGAAAAAAGGCUAGUAGAUUUGAACAGUGAUGCAAAUAUCAAUAAAUUGUCCAAAAUGUACAUGAAAUGCUUACGAGGUGGCUUUAGAAGUGGUUCCACUGAAAAAAAAAAAAAAAUUUCAUGAUUUUUUAAUAGGAAGAACACUUCUGAAGGCCUCAACAUCCUGCUUGAGCUUGUAGAAACAUUUCAAAGAUGUUAAAUCCUGAGACCAAAUUGAAGACAGCCAUCACAAAUUCAACUGAAAUUUUCCACAAAGCUAGCAAAAAACCUUCGUGCUAAUGAAUUGCUGAACCUCUAAUAAGGGUAAUUUCUUAGUCAUUCUGUUUACUAUACUCAACGUAUUCGUGUUACUUUACUCUUUCGUAACGAUUUAACAAUAAAACAUAUUCAUUAAUAUUAAUGUGC
This 1340-nucleotide unclassified non-coding RNA is filed under the name Hevea brasiliensis (rubber tree). The record is from RNAcentral. Lineage: Eukaryota; Viridiplantae; Streptophyta; Magnoliopsida; Malpighiales; Euphorbiaceae.